This 301-nucleotide ribosomal RNA is filed under the name uncultured bacterium. RNAcentral describes it as "partial 16S ribosomal RNA". It matches the Rfam family "Bacterial small subunit ribosomal RNA", at positions 509 to 808 of the family's 1533-position model. The record is from RNAcentral.
CAGUAGCCGCGGUAAUACGUAGGGUGCAAGCGUUAAUCGGAAUUACUGGGCGUAAAGCGUGCGCAGGCGGUUAUAUAAGACAGAUGUGAAAUCCCCGGGCUCAACCUGGGAACUGCAUUUGUGACUGUAUAGCUAGAGUACGGCAGAGGGGGAUGGAAUUCCGCGUGUAGCAGUGAAAUGCGUAGAUAUGCGGAGGAACACCGAUGGCGAAGGCAAUCCCCUGGGCCUGUACUGACGCUCAUGCACGAAAGCGUGGGGAGCAAACAGGAUUAGAUACCCAGUAGUCCCUGUCUCUUAUACC